RNAcentral lists this ribosomal RNA (605 nucleotides) under Rhizopus arrhizus. RNAcentral describes it as "eukaryotic LSU rRNA". The stretch from base 239 to 392 matches the Rfam family "5.8S ribosomal RNA". The record is from RNAcentral. Lineage: Eukaryota; Fungi; Mucoromycota; Mucoromycetes; Mucorales; Rhizopodaceae.
UCGUAACAAGGUUUCCGUAGGUGAACCUGCGGAAGGAUCAUUAAUUAUGUUAAAGCGCCUUACCUCUUAGGGUUUCCUCUGGGGUAAGUGAUUGCUUCUACACUGUGAAAAUUUGGCUGAGAGACUCAGACUGGUCAUGGGUAGACCUAUCUGGGGUUUGAUCGAUGCCACUCCUGGUUUCAGGAGCACCCUUCAUAAUAAACCUAGAAAUUCAGUAUUAUAAAGUUUAAUAAAAAACAACUUUUAACAAUGGAUCUCUUGGUUCUCGCAUCGAUGAAGAACGUAGCAAAGUGCGAUAACUAGUGUGAAUUGCAUAUUCAGUGAAUCAUCGAGUCUUUGAACGCAGCUUGCACUCUAUGGUUUUUCUAUAGAGUACGCCUGCUUCAGUAUCAUCACAAACCCACACAUAACAUUUGUUUAUGUGGUAAUGGGUCGCAUCGCUGUUUUAUUACAGUGAGCACCUAAAAUGUGUGUGAUUUUCUGUCUGGCUUGCUAGGCAGGAAUAUUACGCUGGUCUCAGGAUCUUUUUCUUUGGUUCGCCCAGGAAGUAAAGUACAAGAGUAUAAUCCAGCAACUUUCAAACUAUGAUCUGAAGUCAGGUGGGA